This 162-nucleotide ribosomal RNA is filed under the name Salvia columbariae. RNAcentral describes it as "5.8S ribosomal RNA". It matches the Rfam family "5.8S ribosomal RNA". Rfam says of the family: 5.8S ribosomal RNA (5.8S rRNA) is a component of the large subunit of the eukaryotic ribosome. It is transcribed by RNA polymerase I as part of the 45S precursor that also contains 18S and 28S rRNA. The record is from RNAcentral. Lineage: Eukaryota; Viridiplantae; Streptophyta; Magnoliopsida; Lamiales; Lamiaceae.
AACGACUCUCGGCAACGGAUAUCUCGGCUCUCGCAUCGAUGAAGAACGUAGCGAAAUGNGAUACUUGGUGUGAAUUGCAGAAUCCCGUGAACCAUCGAGUCUUUGAACGCAAGUUGCGCCCGAAGCCAUUCGGCCGAGGGCACGCCUGCCUGGGCGUCACGC